This 253-nucleotide ribosomal RNA is filed under the name uncultured bacterium. RNAcentral describes it as "partial 16S ribosomal RNA". It matches the Rfam family "Bacterial small subunit ribosomal RNA", at positions 524 to 776 of the family's 1533-position model. The record is from RNAcentral.
UACGUAGGUGGCAAGCGUUGUCCGGAUUUACUGGGCGUAAAGAGCGCGCAGGCGGUCGAUCAAGUCGCGUGUGAAAGCCCCCGGCUCAACUGGGGAGGGUCACGCGAUACUGAUCGACUCGAAGGCAGGAGAGGGUAGUGGAAUUCCCGGUGUAGUGGUGAAAUGCGUAGAUAUCAAGAGGAACACCUGAGGUGAAGGCGGGUUGCUGGGCUGACACUGACGCUGAGGCGCGAAAGCCAGGGGAGCAAACGGG